Molecule: small RNA, 581 nt
Filed under: Pan troglodytes (chimpanzee)
Lineage: Eukaryota; Metazoa; Chordata; Mammalia; Primates; Hominidae
Description: retained intron
Source: RNAcentral
UUAUAGUUAUGAUCUUUAACUUGAAGCCCAUCAUUUGAAAAUUGGCCUCGUAGUAGAUACCUAAAGCAACAGCUGUGUCCAAUUAUUGAUGUCUCCACAAGCCAGGGAAGCUUGAGUUUGAGUAUCUCCAAAGUCUCUAAAUGUACAGUGUUUCAGAAUCUGUCAGAAUCUAUUUGAGUGUUUGUGUGCACAGUAUAAGGUGAGCCUUCAGAACAAUCUGAACACCAUCUGGAAUUCCUCUCCUAACCUAGGACUGACUGCAUUGCACAGAUGAUGGAUAUUUACGUAUGUUUGAAACGACCAUCCUGGAUGGUGGACAAUAAAAGAAUGAGGACUGCUUCAAAUUUCCAGUGGCUGUUAUCAGCAUUUAUUCUUCUAUAUCUAAUGAAUCAAGUAAAUAGCCAGAAAAAGGGGGCUCCUCAUGAUUUGAAGUGUGUAACUAACAAUUUGCAAGUGUGGAACUGUUCUUGGAAAGCACCCUCUGGAACAGGCCGUGGUACUGAUUAUGAAGUUUGCAUUGAAAACAGGUAAUUUUAAUUUACUUUAAUUCACAAUGAGCUAGGUUGAAUUGCAGAAACGAC